CGUCGCGUGGCUCAGUUUGGUAGAGCGCUGCGUUCGGGACGCAGAGGUCGCAAGUUCGAAUCUUGUCGCGACGACUA
This 77-nucleotide transfer RNA is filed under the name Lachnospiraceae bacterium. RNAcentral's name for it is "tRNA-Pro". It matches the Rfam family "tRNA". From Rfam's summary of the family: Transfer RNA (tRNA) molecules are approximately 80 nucleotides in length. Their secondary structure includes four short double-helical elements and three loops (D, anti-codon, and T loops). RNAcentral also lists the same sequence under 8 other names. The record is from RNAcentral. Lineage: Bacteria; Bacillati; Bacillota; Clostridia; Lachnospirales; Lachnospiraceae.